Molecule: unclassified non-coding RNA, 391 nt
Filed under: soil metagenome
Description: partial contains 5.8S ribosomal RNA, internal transcribed spacer 2, and large subunit ribosomal RNA
Rfam family: 5.8S ribosomal RNA (bases 1-122)
Source: RNAcentral
GAUGAAGAACGCAGCGAAAUGCGAUACUUGGUGUGAAUUGCAGAAUCCCGUGAACCAUCGAGUCUUUGAACGCAAGUUGCGCCCGAAGCCAUUAGGCCGAGGGCACGCCUGCCUGGGCGUCACACGUCGUUGCCCCCCCAUCUCCUCCUUCGGGAUUGCGGGGGGCGGAUGAUGGCCUCCCGUGCGCCUCGCCGCGCGGUUGGCAUAAAUGCCAAGUCCUCGGCGACGCACGCCACGACAAUCGGUGGUUGCGAAACCUCGGUUGCCCGUCGUGUGCGGUCGUCGCGCAUCGAGGGCUCGAAAAAAUUGCCGGGUUCCGGCUCGGCUUUCAACGCGACCCCAGGUCAGGCGGGGUUACCCGCUGAAUUUAAGCAUAUCACUAAGCGGAGGA